UCUCCGUAGGUGAACCUGCGGAGGGAUCAUUACUGAGUGAGGGCCUUCGGGCUCGACCUCCAACCCUUUGUGAACACAACUUGUUGCUUCGGGGGCGACCCUGCCGUUUCGACGGCGAGCGCCCCCGGUGGCCAAUUAUUAAACUCUGCAUCUCUUGCGUCGGAGUCUUAAAGAAAUUUAAACAAAACUUUCAACAACGGAUCUCUUGGUUCCAGCAUCGAUGAAGAACGCAGC
Molecule: unclassified non-coding RNA, 234 nt
Filed under: uncultured fungus
Lineage: Eukaryota; Fungi
Description: sequence contains ITS1, 5.8S rRNA gene
Rfam family: 5.8S ribosomal RNA (bases 186-234)
Source: RNAcentral